Homo sapiens (human) is the source of this 3218-nucleotide long non-coding RNA. RefSeq lists it as uncharacterized. The transcript is spliced from 2 exons. Lineage: Eukaryota; Metazoa; Chordata; Mammalia; Primates; Hominidae. The record is from RefSeq and is a predicted model, not a curated record.
UCCAGUCCAAGGCGCCGCGGCUUCCGCCCGGGAGGCGGGCUGGUCCCAAACGAGGUCGUGCGCGCUUCCUGCGAUGGUUUUUUGCUGUCCCCGUCUGGCCCCAGGUUGGUAUAUGCUGGACGUCAGCAGCAGAUAGGACACCCCAGCACAAUGAGCCCGCAGCAAUCCGGACUUUCUAGCCUUCAAGUGUACCUCAGAGCGGAAGCUGCGCAUUUGAUUUUUUUUUUUUUUUUUUGGCUCCAUAUUAAAGAACAAAGCAUGGGAACUGGACAGGUCCCUCUGUAAACAGAAAACACAUGUUUUCUGAGAGAAUGGGCCCUUCCUUUCCUGGUUUCAUCUCCCGUGGACAGAGGCCUCCUUAGGCCCGCUGACUUCAAGACCAUGGAGACUGUGGACCGAGGGCUGAGAGGAGGUGAUUCUUCUUUGCUCAACUCAGGGACCGGACACUCGCCUUCUUUUUUUUUUUUUUUUUUUUUUUUUGAGAGUCUCGCUCUGUCGCCCAGGCUGGAGUGCAGUGGCGCGAUCUCAGUUCACUGCAAGCUCCGCCUCCCGGGUUCACGCCAUUCUCCUGCCUAAGCCUCCGGAGUACCUGGGACUACAGGCACCCGCCACCAAGCCCGGCUAAUUUUUUUUUUUUUUUUUUUUUGUAUUUUUAGUAGAGACGGGUUUCACCAUGUUAGCCAGGAUGGUCUCGAUCUCCUGACCUCGUGAUCCGCCUGCCUCGGCCUCCCAAAGUGCUGGGAUUACAGGCAUGAGCCACCGCGCCCAGCUGACAUUUGCCUUUUUGAAUGGGGGCCAGGACAAGUGCUAGAGGUCUGCUCAGCAGUGGGGUGUGGUCUGAGGAGGGAGGGCCCCUCAGAGACCUGAACAGGAAGUGGGGGUCUGCACCAUUUGUGUCCUCCAAGCACACUAGAAUUGUUUAGGGUUCUACCCGAGCUAGCUCCAAGUGAACGUGUGUUCUUUGGAGCCUGCUAGCCACAAAUGGGCAGAGACCUCUAACUCAGAUGAGAAGCCUGUGUCUGCAAAGAAUGGGCAUUCUUGGACUGAGUACCCACUGCUGUGUGUCCUUGGGCAAGUUUCUUAACCUCUCUGGGCCUCACGUUUCUCAUCUGUAAAAGCAGGAUAAUAGUUAUUUAGGAUUCAAUAAGAUCAUGGAAAUAGCCCCAUUGGACACAUAACUAGGAGCUAAUUAAUAAGUGAGCAAAAUCAAACAUUGUCUCUGUUUCAAUGCUGAGCUACGGUAGAGUGGCCCAAGAAUCCUCUACAGACACCCAGGGUGCCCAUACUCCAAGGAGCACCUCCUCUUCCCCUGCCUUCUGUUGGGCACAGCCACUCCCAGGCCGCCGUGACACCUUUUUGGAAGCAGCCGUCUUGCAGACAGAUCAUCCCUUUGAAUCUCCCCAGCAGCCUGAACUUUGUCCUUGAGGGGAGAUUUGAUUUGCGGAAAUAAUCAGACAUCCUUUAAGACAAGUCUGCUGAAUGGAUGCUCAGAAGCCAAGCCAGGGCCUCCUGUCCAGGGCCAGCAUGUGCCACGACUGUAAAGUCAGAAGCCAGUCUGGCCACGUGCUCUGAAGGCAGUAUAGAAAAGAUCUGGACUGGAUCAUCGCCACUGGCGUUGGUGGGUGUGAGCGACGUGUCCGUGUGUGUGUGUGUGUGUGUGUGUGCGUGUGUGCAUGUGUGUAUGAAAAUAGAGAUAUUCACACACACCCCUGAGCUUGGUGGACGGACCAAACCAAAGCCUGCCUAAUUAACAUGAGGCUGCCUUUCAUCUCUCAGCCCACAACUUGAUUUUCAUGGAAAUUUCUCUGUGUGGGAAAAUUACAAGCAUUUCUGAUACAGGCAAGUGUUGUGAGAGUAUGGCAGCAUGUUGUCCUGGAAUACUGGGAUUUAGAGGCUGGGUUCCCCUAGCCUGUUCCUAACCAGCUGUGUGGCCUCUGGCUCCUUUCUUCACCCCCCAUCUCUUGGUUUCCCCAUCUCAAGUGCUCCAGGAAGGAAACACACAGGCUGUGCCCACAUGCGUGGGCAUUCACAGCACGUGCGGGUGACAUUGCUCAUUAAAACACUGUAAAAAUUAAUUGGCAUUCACAAAGUUCUAGUCACAAUAGCAAACAUUUUAAAAAAUCAGAAACAGGCCAGGCACAGUGGCUCACGCCUGUAAUUUCAGCACUUUGGGAGGCCGAGGUGGAUCACUUGAGCCUGGGAGGCAGAGGUUGCAGUGAGCCGAGAUUGCACCACUGCACUCCAGCCUGGGUGACAGUGAGACCCUGUCUCAAAAAACAAACAAACAGACAACACAAACAAUUCAAUUGUCCAUCAGUAUGUGAGUGGGUAAACAAAUGUCAAUAGGCAUAUGAUAAAAUAUCACGUAGCAGUAAAAAGGAAUGGGCUAUUGAUAAACUCAACAACAUAGAUAGCAGGAUCCCGAGCAAGAGUUCAUACUCCAUGAGUUAAAAUUUUUUUUUAAUAAAUUGAAACUGAUCUACGGUGGUUGGAUUCAGAUUGCUGGCUGCCAGGAAGUCAGAGACUGCCUGCAAGGGGCUCUAGGGAACAUUUUGUGGUGAUGUUUUCUUUCUUGAUCGUGGUGAUACAUGUCACGGUUGCAUACAUUGUCAAAACUCAUCGAACAGUAGAGGUGAAAGGGAUUUUGCUGCAUGGAACUUAUUCCUUAAUAAGGUUGAUUUCAAAAAUUAACUGGUAUUUAUACUUUAUUUUUCAAAUCUUGUAGAAAAUAAUGACAUAAAAUGCUCACAACGUAUUCAACAAAAAGACUGUAAAAUAACCUAUAGUAUGAUCUAAUGAUUAUAUAUACAUGAAUAUAUGUAUGCAUUUAUAACUUACGAUAUGGUCCAUUCAUAUAGAUAUGUGUACACACACACAAACACAUAUAUGCAUGCGCACAUAUAUACACAUACAGUUUGGAAAAUAUAGCAGAAGGACUUUCAACCAAAUGCAUUCAGUAAUUACCUCAUGGGUAAUUGUUUUCUUUUUAUUUUUUAAUUCUAAAUACCCUCUUAGUUUUUUCUUAAUUCUAAAUAUCCUCUUAGUUUUUUUUUUUUUUUUUUGUACUUUUCUGUAAUGAACACUAUUUUUGUGGAAGAGAGUCUUUUUUGCUUGCUGUAUUUUUCUUUAUUGUUAAUUGACAAAUAAUUGUAUGUAUUCAUGAGGUAUAAUAUGUUAUAUAUAUAACACUUUUCUUUUUAUAAACAAAUAAAAACAAA